GUGUGCAUUAUCCCUUGUAUGCAUUCACUAUAAAUGCUAUCCAAAUUGUGAAAGUUCCCAAAUGUGUAACCCAUCAUGAUACAUCUCAUGAGAUGUAAACUCAAGAGUCUACUGUCAAAUAAAUUUUAUACUAAUUUGUCACAUGGCCAACCCCAAAUGGAACAUGUAUAAAACAGUAUUUGAGUUAAAAUCUAACAUAUAUUUUCCCCCACUCUUCCUCAUUUAAGAAUUUUGAUAGCAAUCUAUAAAAUAAAGUGAAAUAUCUACAGAUCAUCCUCUAUUCCUUUCUUUCAUCAUCUCUGACUUCCAUACUAUUUGUCACACAAGAUUGCUCUAAGUUGCUGGUCUCUUAACUGCAAAUACAUUUCCAGGAUUCCUCAUUUGCACCCUCCUCUUCUCACAAUUUCUGCUUUUGGUGGCAUAUUUGUGUGGUGGAUAAAUUUCCUACCCUUACUAAUGUUUGCCUUUACUGGUGAGCCUCCUCAUUUGUAAUUUUCUUCUCUCUAGUUGUGGCCUUUUCUUUCUGGCUAGAGAAGUUCCUUUAGUAUUUGUUGUAAAGCUGGUCUGGUGGUGCUGAAUUCUCUUAGCCUUUGCUUGUCUGUAAAGGUUUUGAUUUCUCCUUCAAAUCUGAAAGAAAGCCUUGCUGGGUAGAGUAUUCUUGGUUGCAGGUUUUUUUUUUUCUUUCAUCACCUUAAGUAUAUCAUGCCACUCCCUUCUGGCCUGCAGAGUUUCUGUUGAAAAAAUCAGAUGAUAAUCUUAUUGGGGUUCCCUUAUAUGUUAUUUGUUGCUUUUCCCUAGCUGCUUUCAAUAUUUGCUCUUUGACUUUAAUGUUGGUCAGUUUGAUUAAUAUGUGUCUUGGUGUAUUCCUCCUUGGUUUUAUCCUAUUUGGUAUUCGUUGUGCUUCAUGGAUUUGAGUGAGUGAUCCUUUCCAAUGUUAGGGAAUUUUUCAACUAUUAUUUCUUCAAAUAUUUUCUCUGGCCCUUUCUCUCUCUCCUUCUGAGACCUCUAUAAUGCCAAUGUUGGUGCAUUUAAAGUUGUCCCAGAGUUCUUUUAGACUUUCCUCAAUUCUUUUCAUUCUUUUUUCUUUAUUCUGUUCCACACUAGUGACUUCCACCAGUCUGUCUUCCACCUCAUUUUUUUGUUCUUCUACCUCCUAUAUUAUGCUAUUAUUUCCUUCUAGUGAAUUUUUUAUUUCAGCUAUUGUGUUGAUCAUCUCUGCUUGUUGAAUCUUUAAAUCUUCUAUUCCUUUAUUAAACCUUUCUUCUAAUUCAUCAAUAUUUGCCUCUAUUUUUUUCUCUGAAAUCUUAGAUCAUCCUUAUUUGCAUUACUCUAAAGUCUUUUUCAGACAGGUUUCCUAUCUCCACUUCACUUAGCUGUUCUUCUGGGUUUUUUUUCUUGUUCCUUCAUCUGACUCAUGUUUCUCUGACUUCAUUUUGCAGAGCUUUUGUGAGGUCUCCUUUCUGUAGGCUAGAGGGUUGUAGCCUCUCUUUCUUCUGGUGUCUGCCUCUUCAUGGGUGAAGUUGACUGAUACAGGGGCUUAUUAUAGGCUUCCUGCUGGGAGGGACUGGUACCUGCCCACUGGUAGGUGGAGCUGAUUCUUAUCCCUCUGCUGGGUGGGUCUUUGUAUCUGGGUAUGAUUAGGGCAGCCUAUUUGCUGAUGUGUGGAGCUGUGUUCCCACCCUGUUUGUCAUCUGGCAUGGGACUUCUCAGCCAUGAUGGGUGGGGCCAAAUUUUUCCAAAAUGGUCGCCUCAGGGGAGGUCACACUGAUGAAUAUUCCCGGGAUCUCUGUGUCCAAUGUCCUUCCCCCACAGUGAGCCAUGGCCAACCCACUCUCCCAGGAGACCCUCCAAGACCUCCUGGUGGGCUUGAUCCAGAUUCUUAUAGAGUCUCUGAUUUGCCCUGUGAUCCAUCACAUGAAACCCUGUGUGCCCUCCUAGAGUGAAGUCUCUGUCUCCCUGAGUCCUGUGGAGCUCCUGCACUAGUCUUCAAUGCCAAAUUCUCCAGGGGCCCCUCCUCCCAAUGCCAGACCCCCAGGUGUGAGAACCUGACAUGGAGCUCCAAACUCUCACUCUUGUGGGAAAACCUCUGCAAUGUAGUUAUUUUCAAGUCUGUGGGUCAUCCCCCAGGCAGUUAUGGGAUUGCUUGUAUCAUGGAAGCACCCCUCUCCUACCAUCUUGAUGUGAAUUCUUCUUUGGAUAUAGGAUAUCUUUUUUGGUAGCUCCCAGUCUAUUUUGUUGAUGGUUGUUCAACAGAUAGUUGUAUUUUGGUGUUUUUGUGAGAGGAGGUGACCUUGAGUCCUUCUACUCUGGAAUCUGGUCUCUGUCAAUUAUGUUCAAUUUCCCAUGUUCCCUUGCAGUCCUGUCCACACGUUAUAAAGUUUAGAUGGUCUUUUGCAGGAUGCUGUUGUUGGCUCUGAAUUAGUGACCAACAAAUUGUUCUUCCUUUCCUGUUUGUUUCUUGUCCUCUGUGCUAAAUCUAGUCUUACUGGCUCAUGGGAUGGACAGCUCAUGCAUCUGGCCCUUCAGACCGAGUUCCUGAAGCCAGAAAUCCCCACCCACCUAUUAUUACAAACUUACACACUGUUUUUCUUCUAAUAAAAUCUUUUAAAGUACAUUAACUUAAUUUGUCAAAUAUUAAUUCUAUCAUUAACGUACUUAAAAUUUAGAAAAUAAUAAUACGUAAAGAUAAAGAAUAACACGUAAUUUUCUGUUUGUUAAAAUGGAAAAAUAGUGAAAACCUCAUAAUGACAUAGUCAAGUGGAAUGUUUUAUUAUAAAUAUAUGAAAUUUAUAACUUUUCUCAUUGGGUUGACAAAAAUCUAUUUUCUUGUAAGUUCUUAAGAUUUUAUAAUCAACAGAUAAGUCAAGUUGACCUUAGUUUUGUACCCAGGGUCAAAGUAUAAAUAACAAAACAAAAUUGACUAAUUGGCCUCCCUAAUUAACAUGCAUAUUUCUUCCUAUUAUAGUCCAUAAAAACAAAAGGUAGUGUUUUAAUUAUUCUGUGCACAUUUUCCGUGUGUAUGAACUUAAAAAACUUCCUAGAAUCUGACCUCUAAUUUGAACUCUUUGGAAUCAUUUAACACAGUUCUUGAAAUCUUUUUAAAUUAGAACUAAUUCACAGAACUUUUCUCAAUUUCAGUGACAGAUCAUCAAAAUACUUUGCUUCUUCUUUUACCUUAAAAGAUCCUUAACUACACACAUCUAAUUAGAGGACUAUUUUCACCAGCUUAUUCUCUUCAAAUGUUAACCUAAAUUCUAAGCUUAUGUUAGAUCUUAUUAGGAAACAUGAAAUAAAUACCACUAAGAUGAUAUCAAACUUAUUUAUGCAUAUAAAUAUCUUAAUGGUAAAUACAUGCAUAUUUGACUCUAAUAAAAACAAAUCAUAUUUAAAAUGUAUCAUUUAUUUAAAAUAACAAUUACAUGUCUAUAUUUUUAAAAAUACUAUACAUAUAUUAUUACCUAAAUUGCCAAUAUAUAAUGCAAUAUAAUUUCCCCAAAUUUAUAAUAUGCAUAUUAGUAAAUUUUAUCUUUAUGUUGUAUUUGAAAUGAUGAUUUGAUAAUAUAUUUUAAAAGGAAUAUAAAGAGCUAUCUGCCUGUAGUAUAUCAAUAACUAAAUACUCUAAAAUUUAAGUAAUAUUUUAAAUAGAAUUAUGUUUAGAAUUAUACAUAAAAGCAAAUAUGUUUUUAAAUCACCUGUAAUUCAGAGUAAUUUGUGACAUCAACUUGAAAGCCGGAAAAACACAAAAUGUGAAAUAUUGUUUCUGGAGAAGAGAAGGAAGUAAGAGAAAUUUAUUUGGCAUAACUAUGUAACAGAUAUUCUAUUAGCAAAUCUCUAAAGUUGAAUUUUUUUUUUGUAGCCAUCAACUACAAUUGAGUUCUCAUUAUUAUCUAAACUUCCAUUGUUGUUCCUUUGUGUGUAUACACACACACACACACACACAAAUUUAAUAGCUGACAUAAAACUUACUCCAAUCCCUCCAGUCAGAAAUGUAUCCAUUUCUCUCCUCUACACUUGUCACAUACUCCCUAUAUACUCCCUAUAUACUAGGUUAUUUUGGUAUAUACUCCCUAUAUACUAGGUUAUUUUGGUAUGUGUUUCAUCCAGGAGAAUUGCAUAUUUUUCUGCAGCCAAUGGCAUGAUUUAUAUUUUCAUGAUAACAAACAGCAACACACUAUGUAAUUCUGUAUAUGAGUAGUGAGAUCUGUAGGUUUUUAUGAAGUCACCUACACCAUACCCUAUUUCAAAAUUACUGAAGUGUUAAUAUCAUAUUUAUACUUUCCAAAAGACCCAUUUACAAACCACAAAUAAAUAUAACACUAAACAGUAAAAAGCUUUAAGGGGAGUUCCCAUCGUGGCUCAGUGGAAAUGAAUCUGACUAGUAUCCAUGAGGACACAGGUUUGAUCCCUGACCUCACUCAGUCAGGUAAGGAUCCUGCAUAGCCCUGAGCUGUGGUGUAGGUCACAGAUGCAGCUCAGAUCUGGC
RNAcentral lists this long non-coding RNA (4483 nucleotides) under Sus scrofa (pig). RNAcentral's name for it is "lncRNA (ENSSSCG00000056312.1)". The record is from RNAcentral. Lineage: Eukaryota; Metazoa; Chordata; Mammalia; Artiodactyla; Suidae.